This 446-nucleotide ribosomal RNA is filed under the name Pandoraea capi. RNAcentral's name for it is "bacterial SSU rRNA". It matches the Rfam family "Bacterial small subunit ribosomal RNA", at positions 1 to 451 of the family's 1533-position model. The record is from RNAcentral. Lineage: Bacteria; Pseudomonadati; Pseudomonadota; Betaproteobacteria; Burkholderiales; Burkholderiaceae.
UGAAGAGUUUGAUCCUGGCUCAGAUUGAACGCUGGCGGCAUGCCUUACACAUGCAAGUCGAACGGCAGCACGGGUGCUUGCACCUGGUGGCGAGUGGCGAACGGGUGAGUAAUAUAUCGGAACGUACCUUGUAGUGGGGGAUAGCUCGGCGAAAGCCGGAUUAAUACCGCAUACGCUCUGAGGAGGAAAGCGGGGGACCUUCGGGCCUCGCGCUACAAGAGCGGCCGAUAUCAGAUUAGCUAGUUGGUGAGGUAAAAGCUCACCAAGGCGACGAUCUGUAGCUGGUCUGAGAGGACGACCAGCCACACUGGGACUGAGACACGGCCCAGACUCCUACGGGAGGCAGCAGUGGGGAAUUUUGGACAAUGGGCGAAAGCCUGAUCCAGCAAUGCCGCGUGUGUGAAGAAGGCCUUCGGGUUGUAAAGCACUUUUGUCCGGAAAGAAAU